Molecule: unclassified non-coding RNA, 405 nt
Filed under: soil metagenome
Description: partial contains 5.8S ribosomal RNA, internal transcribed spacer 2, and large subunit ribosomal RNA
Rfam family: 5.8S ribosomal RNA (bases 1-121)
Source: RNAcentral
GAUGAAGAACGUAGCGAAAUGCGAUAAGUAAUGUGAAUUGCAGAAUUCAGUGAAUCAUCGAAUCUUUGAACGCACCUUGCGCCCUUUGGCUAUUCCAGAGGGCAUGCCUGUUUGAGUAUCAUGAACACCUCAACUCUCAUGGUUCUGCCAUGAUGAGCUUGGACUUUGGAGGUCUUGCUGGCCCCUGUGGUCAGCUCCUCUCAAAUGGAUCAGCUUGCCAGUGUUUGGUGGCAUCACAGGUGUGAUAACUAUCUACGCUUGUGGUUUUCCACCAGGUAACCUUCAGUGAUGGAGGUUCGCUGGAGCUCAUAAACGUCUCUCCUCAGCGAGGACAGCUUCUUGAAUGUUUGAUCUCAAAUCAGGUAGGGCUACCCGCUGAACUUAGGCAUAUCAAUAAGCGGAGGA